GUGGAGGAGCUGUUGACUGAGCGCCGACGAAGGAGACCAUCACGAGGGAGUACGCAUCGAUCGAUGAUUCCUCUGACCCGUGUCCUGCGCUUGUGGCUGCCCGCUGGGAUCGGACACCAUGGUUUUUAAAUCGGCAUAUGGUGGUGGUGCUCGUACCGGCUGCAACAGUUCGUGGGUCUGUUGGUAUCCGGGGACAUUGGUGGCUUCCUCUUUGACUCACGCAUAACUGGGGGCGACACUUGGAGUGCCAUUUGGGGCGGAGAAACAGGAUGAUAAAGGAAAAGGCUUGGGCGAGGGUGGGCGUUGGGUGGCGGCGGCCUUCCAUUACCUAGCCUUGGCACCUCAUUUCGUUACGAUAGCAAGUACUCCCUUCGUCCCAAAAUAAGUGUUGCUGACUUAGUACAAUGCACUUAUUUUUGCGAUGGAUGGCUCUACUUCAAAUCUCCGGCCUCAUAAGUGCAGAGUUCGAGGUGCGCAGAUGACUAGCAGCUUCUACGGGCUAAACCAAAGAUGGUGUCAACCUGCAUCUGGAACAGCUCCAACAGGAAGUUGGAAGAAACGUACUUCAAGUGGAACAGAUCGGAAGGUUCCUCUGAUGUGAUGUUGUUUUUUAUGUUCUGUUGGGUAGUAAGUUGAUGAAAUAUUGGCUAUUACAAGCUAUUAUGCUCCCUUUUAA
Molecule: long non-coding RNA, 676 nt
Organism: Hordeum vulgare subsp. vulgare (domesticated barley)
Lineage: Eukaryota; Viridiplantae; Streptophyta; Magnoliopsida; Poales; Poaceae
Exons: 3
Source: RefSeq, a predicted model, not a curated record